This 468-nucleotide ribosomal RNA is filed under the name uncultured bacterium. Its description in RNAcentral is "partial 16S ribosomal RNA". It matches the Rfam family "Bacterial small subunit ribosomal RNA", at positions 28 to 507 of the family's 1533-position model. The record is from RNAcentral.
GACGAACGCUGGCGGCGUGCUUAACACAUGCAAGUCGAACGGAAAGGCCCUGCUUUUGUGGGGUGCUCGAGUGGCGAACGGGUGAGUAACACGUGAGUAACCUGCCCUUGACUUUGGGAUAACUUCAGGAAACUGGGGCUAAUACCGGAUAGGAUCUCCUGCUGCAUGGUGGGGGUUGGAAAGUUUCGGCGGUUGGGGAUGGACUCGCGGCUUAUCAGCUUGUUGGUGGAGUAGUGGCGUACGAAGGCUUUGACGGCUAGCCGGCCUGAGAGGGUUACCGGCGACAUUGGGACUAAGGGAGGGCCCAGAAUGCUACGGGACGCAGCAGUGGGAAAUCUUGCACAGUGGGCGGGAGCCAGAUGCAGCAACGUCGCGUGCGGGAUGACGGCCUUCGGGUUGUAAACAGAUUUGGACUGUGACGAGGAGUGAGUGACGGUAAUGGGUAAAAAAGCACCGGCUAACUACGUG